Anopheles gambiae (African malaria mosquito) is the source of this 1709-nucleotide long non-coding RNA. RefSeq lists it as uncharacterized. NCBI's taxonomy places the organism in Eukaryota, Metazoa, Arthropoda, Insecta, Diptera, Culicidae. The transcript has 2 exons. The record is from RefSeq and is a predicted model, not a curated record.
AUAUAUACAGGCACAAGUGAACCCUAAUCGCAGUGACCCAACGGUCUAAUAGCAUACGCGUCCGCUCCAACAACAUCAGACAAGGAUCGUUUCCCAUCUAAUACAUACUCCAGUAGCGUACAAAGCUGCCAUUUUACACAACUCUUAAUCAGCAGUUGAGGUGGUGAAGAGCUUUCCAAUACGCAGUUAAGUCUCGUUCCCGCCUGCAUUGACCUCUACCGUGCAAGCAAAACGGAAACGGUUAUAAAUGUGCAGUAACAACAGCAUACACAAGCACCCAUGCAUACAUACAAAAAACCCCAUCUUCAACAAUUGCAGCAUGUGAUAAAAAUAAUUGCCCGCAACAAAAAAAUACCCACCGCGGGCAAGCCAGGGGCGUCCAGGCUGAUAAGCGCGGAGUAAAAGUCACCCCAGCAAAGUUGCAAUCGCCUUCACCACCGUACAGUGUAGCUAUCGGGCUAAACCAGUCGUAACCAGCGCUCCAUCGAUGGAAUGGAUCCACCAGGGCUCGGUACGGACGUGCCAAACAACAUAAACAACUGGGCAGCAUCCACCAGCCGGCCGGUACCGCACCGACUUACCCCCCACAUGGGACUCUGCUACUUAGAACCGUACGGCGGCUACUGACGUCAAUCGGUCGGUCGGGACCCACGGUUCACCGUGUGAUAGUGGAUUGGCCCCGGCCCCAAAAGCGUGCACUGGAAACGGGGGCGGGCCAUUCCGGCUGAGGAUGGAGCAGAGCCUUCACCACUAGGUAAACGCGUGGGAAAAUCAACCAAUAAGCUGGAGGAUUCACGCAGAGGGUCGGGAGCGGAGCGAAGGAUCGAGUUCGUUCGGGUCGAAAUAAUAAGCUGAUAGUGGUAUGUGGCAGACAAGCGGACCAGGCCGUGUGGCUAGAGCGGCAACGCAAUAGAGCUCGCUCGGAGCAUUACGCUAAACGGGCCCCUGAUAAGCGCCCGCAUGGAGGUACAUCCAGCCACCAGGUGAUCCCAGGGGACAGUGGGUAAGGCAAGGAAGGUUCCUUGCCAGCUUGUUUGCAAAACCACUCCUGCUCCGGUUUUCCAACGCGUACAGAGUGGAGAAUGAUCGACACAAAACACCCGAGCUCUCGCUGCCCGGGUUCACAUUCCUUCGAUGGCCUACGCGAGGUCGUCGGUUCGCGAGUGGCGAAAGGUGAUGCAGCUGAUAUGUAGAGGCGGGUGGUGGAUGGCCACCCAAUGUCCGGCUAGUAGCGGCGGAGUGCACGAGACGCCGCCGAUGAGUCGACCACCGAUGCGCGGGGGAAAGUGGUCCGCUCAAUCGGUACUGGGGCUCGAGCAGUGGUAGCAGCUUGUGAGCAGUGAUAGCACCAUCGUCGUCGUCGUCGUUGAGCCCUACAUUGCUCCCGUCGAGGGUGAAGAUCCUUGUGCGGUGAUGAUCACGCGUUCAGCACGUUCCCGGAGCGUGCUCGAUGACACUGAGCGCAGAGACAGAGCGCUUGCUGGAGGCCCCCCAACCGACUGACCGACCGAUAGUGGAGCGUACCGUGUGGAGAUGAAUGCGAAUCUUACUACCAAAUUGUAUUUAGCUUGCGGGCAAAUUUGAGCUGGUACAGCGACGGGUGUCUGUGUGUACUUGACCCCGGACGCAAUGUUCCAAAAUAUGGAGUACAAGCGAUACGACGGGUGUUGAGAAUUGUUGUGAAAUAUAUUUUUAUUGGAAAAAUUCAA